Molecule: ribosomal RNA, 927 nt
Filed under: Triticum aestivum (bread wheat)
Lineage: Eukaryota; Viridiplantae; Streptophyta; Magnoliopsida; Poales; Poaceae
Description: partial small subunit ribosomal RNA
Source: RNAcentral
AUGGCGUCGUCGGCGGAGGGCGCAGCGGUGGUGGAUGCGUACAAGAAGGCUCUCGCCACUGCGGCCUCGGUGAGCGCGUACGCCAUGCUGGCGCGCGGCAUGGCGCGGGAGCUCCUCCCCGACGAGCUGCGCGCCGCGGUGCGCUGGGGCGCCGCGUUCGUGCGCUCCCGCUUCAGCGCCCCCGAGAAGGAGCGCCACGCCAUCGUCAUCCGGCGCGUGCUCGGCGGCGGGUACAACGAGGACGACCUGUUCGACGCGGCGCUCACGUACCUGGCCACCAAGAUCAACCCGCAGUCCAUGAGCCGGCUCUGCCUCGCGCGCACCCGCAAGAGGGAGCCGGACGGGAGCGGCAGCUGCAGCACGCUCCUGAGCAUGGAGAACGGGGGCUCCACCACCGAUACCUUCCAAGGCGUGGAGUUCCGGUGGACGUCCAUCGAGAGCGGCGGCAACGACGGCAACAAUAGGGGCAAGGAAUGCCUGGAGCUCAGCUUUGACGCGGAGCACACGGAGACCGCGCUCCACAAGUACGUGCCCUUCAUUACGUCCACGGCGGAGGAGCUGCGGUUACGAGACCGCGCGCUCAAGAUCUUCCUCAACCAGGGCUCGAGUUGGAAAGGCAUCAACCACCACCACCCGGCCACGUUCGACACGCUCGCCAUGGACCCGUCCGUCAAGCAGGCCGUGAUUGACGACCUCGACCGGUUCCUGAAGCGGAAGGAGUACUACCGGCGGAUCGGCAAGGCGUGGAAGCGCGGGUACCUUCUCUACGGUCCACCUGGAACCGGCAAGUCCAGCCUGGUCGCCGCCAUGGCCAACUACCUCCGGUUCAACCUCUACGACCUUGAUCUCUCCGGGGUGUACGACAACUCGUACCUGCAGCGGCUGCUCAUCGACAUGUCCAACAAGUCUCGUCAUCGAGGACAUUGA